GAUGAACACUGGCGGCGUGCUUAACACAUGCAAGUCGAACGGUGAAGCAGGAGCUUGCUCCUGUGGAUCAGUGGCGAACGGGUGAGUAACACGUGAGUAACCUGCCCCAGACUCUGGGAUAAGCGUUGGAAACGACGUCUAAUACCGGAUACGAGACGAGAAGGCAUCUUCAUCGUCUGGAAAGAACUUCGGUCUGGGAU
Molecule: ribosomal RNA, 200 nt
Filed under: uncultured bacterium
Lineage: Bacteria
Description: partial 16S ribosomal RNA
Rfam family: Bacterial small subunit ribosomal RNA
Source: RNAcentral